GUGCUCGCUUCGGCAGCACAUGUACUAAAAUUGGAACGAUACAGAGAAAAUUAGCAUGGCCCCUGUGCAAGGAUGACGUGCGAAUUCAUGAAGCGUUCCAUGUUUUU
This is a small nuclear RNA of Cebus imitator (Panamanian white-faced capuchin), 107 nucleotides long. Lineage: Eukaryota; Metazoa; Chordata; Mammalia; Primates; Cebidae. The record is from RefSeq and is a predicted model, not a curated record.